UAGGGAAUAUUGGACAAUGGGCGAAAGCCUGAUCCAGCCAUGCCGCGUGGAGGAUGAAUGCCCUCUGGGUUGUAAACUCCUUUUAUCUGGGAAGAAACUCUUGGAUUUAUCCAAGCCUGACGGUACCAGAGGAAUAAGCACCGGCUAACUCCGUGCCAGCAGCCGCGGUAAUACGGAGGGUGCAAGCGUUAUCCGGAUUUACUGGGUUUAAAGGGUGCGUAGGCGGGUUGGUAAGUCAGUGGUGAAAGCCCCGAGCUUAACUUGGGAACUGCCAUUGAUACUGCCAGUCUUGAAUACGGUUGAGGUAGGCGGAAUAUAACAUGUAGCGGUGAAAUGCUUAGAUAUGUUAUAGAACACCGAUUGCGAAGGCAGCUUACUAAGCCGUUAUUGACGCUGAGGC
This 400-nucleotide ribosomal RNA is filed under the name uncultured bacterium. Its description in RNAcentral is "bacterial SSU rRNA". It matches the Rfam family "Bacterial small subunit ribosomal RNA", at positions 355 to 752 of the family's 1533-position model. The record is from RNAcentral.